RNAcentral lists this ribosomal RNA (914 nucleotides) under uncultured bacterium. RNAcentral's name for it is "bacterial SSU rRNA". It matches the Rfam family "Bacterial small subunit ribosomal RNA", at positions 1 to 919 of the family's 1533-position model. The record is from RNAcentral.
UUCGCCCUUAGAAGUUUGAUCCUUGGCUCAGGACGAACGCUGGCGGCGUGCCUAACACAUGCAAGUCGAGCGGAGACAGUGAGUAGCUUGCUAUGAGCUGUUUUAGCGGCGGACGGGUGAGUAACGCGUGAGCAACCUUUCCCAGACAGGGGAAUAACACACCGAAAGGUGUACUAAUACCGCAUAAGACCACGGGAUCACAUGGUUCUGGGGUAAAAGAUUUAUCGGUUUGGGGUGGGCUCGCGUCCGAUUAGGUAGUUGGUGAGGUAACGGCCCACCAAGCCGACGAUCGGUAGCCGACCUGAGAGGGUGAUCGGCCACAUUGGGACUGAGACACGGCCCAAACUCCUACGGGAGGCAGCAGUGGGGAAUAUUGGGCAAUGGAGGAAACUCUGACCCAGCAACGCCGCGUGGAGGAAGAAGGUUUUCGGAUCGUAAACUCCUGUCCUUGGAGACGAGUAGAAGACGGUAUCCAAGGAGGAAGCCCCGGCUAACUACGUGCCAGCAGCCGCGGUAAUACGUAGGGGGCAAGCGUUGUCCGGAAUAAUUGGGCGUAAAGGGCGCGUAGGCGGCUCGGUAAGUCUGGAGUGAAAGUCCUGCUUUUAAGGUGGGAAUUGCUUUGGAUACUGUCGGGCUUGAGUGCAGGAGAGGUUAGUGGAAUUCCCAGUGUAGCGGUGAAAUGCGUAGAGAUUGGGAGGAACACCAGUGGCGAAGGCGACUAACUGGACUGUAACUGACGCUGAGGCGCGAAAGUGUGGGGAGCAAACAGGAUUAGAUACCCUGGUAGUCCACACUGUAAACGAUGAAUGCUAGGUGUAGGGGGUAUCGACCCCUUCUGUGCCGCAGUCAACACAAUAAGCAUUCCGCCUGGGGAGUACGGCCGCAAGGUUGAAACUCAAAUGAAUUGACGGAAG